RNAcentral lists this transfer RNA (131 nucleotides) under Streptomyces rapamycinicus. RNAcentral describes it as "tRNA-OTHER". The record is from RNAcentral. Lineage: Bacteria; Bacillati; Actinomycetota; Actinomycetes; Kitasatosporales; Streptomycetaceae.
CUGGGCGUGAUGGAGCAGCGGGGGAGCGCAUCUGCCGCUGACCGGCGACAGCGAUCAUGCCGAUCGGCUAUGUCUCCUUGUUGCCAAGCAGAGUCAAGGGGUCGCAGGUUCAAAUCCUGUCGUCCCGACCA